UGUACACACCGCCCGUCACACCAUGGGAGUUGGUGGGGCCCAACGCCGGUGACCCAACCCGAAAGGGAGGAAGCCGUCUAAGGCAAAACCAAUAGCUGGGGUGAAGUCGUAACAAGGUAGCCGUACCGGGAGGUGCGGCUGGAUCACCUCCUUU
Molecule: ribosomal RNA, 154 nt
Filed under: Candidatus Niameybacter stercoravium
Lineage: Bacteria; Bacillati; Bacillota; Clostridia; Lachnospirales; Lachnospiraceae
Description: partial 16S ribosomal RNA
Rfam family: Bacterial small subunit ribosomal RNA
Source: RNAcentral